GCCUGGGUGGCUCAGUCGGUUGGGCGUCUGACUUCGGCUCAGGUCAUAAUCUCACACGUGUGGGUUCGAGCCCCGCGUCAGGCU
This 84-nucleotide transfer RNA is filed under the name Felis catus (domestic cat). It matches the Rfam family "tRNA". Rfam says of the family: Transfer RNA (tRNA) molecules are approximately 80 nucleotides in length. The record is from Rfam by way of RNAcentral. Lineage: Eukaryota; Metazoa; Chordata; Mammalia; Carnivora; Felidae.